Lutra lutra (Eurasian river otter) is the source of this 593-nucleotide long non-coding RNA. RefSeq lists it as uncharacterized. NCBI's taxonomy places the organism in Eukaryota, Metazoa, Chordata, Mammalia, Carnivora, Mustelidae. The transcript is spliced from 3 exons. The record is from RefSeq and is a predicted model, not a curated record.
GCUUUAAGGCAACACCGUUUCCUGCGUCCUUUGUGUUCCCCUGUCCUGUGGUCUGGAGACAAAGCUGGAGAACAAGACUCAGCUGACCUCUGACUUUCUGGAGCUAUCCUUGAGUAGGGGAGAUGGACGGAUGGCACGCGAGGGACCGAACAGAGAGAGGGUCACACAUGGUCCUCAAUGGAUUGGAUGAUGCCUACUGCAUCGGUGAAGGUGAUCUUUCUUACUCAUCUACUGGUUCAGAUGCGAAUCUCUUCCAGAAACGCUCUCACAGACACAUCCAGACGUAUGUUUUACCAGCAGUCUGGGCAUUUCUUAGUCCAGUCAAGUUGACACAUGAGAAUAACGGGCACAAAUAACUGCAGUUGAAGGAUAAAUGCUCCAUGUCCUCUCUCUGCCAGUUGGCGUUUAUCAGAAGGCACUGGAAGAAGAGGGACAAAGGUGCCUGGAUAUAUGUGUUCACCAAGAGUUGUCAGGACCUUGAUUCUAAAAGGAAGUUGUAAACUAAUGUUUUUGACGUCAAGAUGUUUCUGGAAGUGGAGGCAGUUCAAGAGUUUGGCAAACAGAGGCUUGCAGGCUAAGUUCAACCUAUUGCC